This 281-nucleotide ribosomal RNA is filed under the name unidentified marine bacterioplankton. RNAcentral describes it as "partial 16S ribosomal RNA". It matches the Rfam family "Bacterial small subunit ribosomal RNA", at positions 56 to 339 of the family's 1533-position model. The record is from RNAcentral.
UGCAAGUCGAACGAUGAAGGGGAGCUUGCUCCCUGGAAUAGUGGCGAACGGGUGAGUAACACGUGAGCAACCUGCCCCUAACUCUGGGAUAACGCUUCGGAAGGAGUGCUAAUACCGGAUAUGAGCCUGGAAGACAUCUUCUGGGUUGGAAAGUUUUCGGUUAGGGAUGGGCUCGCGGCCUAUCAGCUUGUUGGUGAGGUAAAGGCUCACCAAGGCGACGACGGGUAUCCGGCCUGAGAGGGCGACCGGACACACUGGGACUGAGACACGGCCCAGACUCC